This 130-nucleotide small nuclear RNA is filed under the name Mesocricetus auratus (golden hamster). Its description in RNAcentral is "U4 spliceosomal RNA". It matches the Rfam family "U4 spliceosomal RNA", at positions 15 to 138 of the family's 138-position model. From Rfam's summary of the family: U4 small nuclear RNA (U4 snRNA) is a component of the major U2-dependent spliceosome. The structure of U4 snRNA from yeast and human has been reported. The record is from Rfam by way of RNAcentral. Lineage: Eukaryota; Metazoa; Chordata; Mammalia; Rodentia; Cricetidae.
AUCAUUUCAUUGCAGUAUUGUAGCCAAUGAGGUUUAUCCAAGGCAGAAUUAUUGUUAAUUAAAAACUUUUCCAAAUACCCCACAGUGAGAACUUUCAAUAUUUUUAUUUUUUAAAAACAGGCUUUUGCCU